This 281-nucleotide long non-coding RNA is filed under the name Elaeis guineensis (African oil palm). Its description in RNAcentral is "long non-coding RNA (EGUI_LNC030734)". The record is from RNAcentral. Lineage: Eukaryota; Viridiplantae; Streptophyta; Magnoliopsida; Arecales; Arecaceae.
CAUGUCAUGACUACUGAUAAAUACCGAGUUCAUCGUAUUACAUAGAAAAGCUAUGCCUGAAGCUUAUGCUUAUGCUUGUAGGUGUGGCUAGAACUUCUCUAAAGACAAGGCCUAGUGCUCUCAGAUCCUAUAUCAAUUUUUUUUAGAAAAUUUCUAUCAUAGAAAGAUGCUGAUAUACACUACAGUGGAUACUAAUACAGAUAGUACUAUAUGAACUGAUACUACUAGGGUAAAUGCUGGUGCAUACUUUAGCAAUGCAAAUACUAACUGCAGCACACACC